GACCCAGCCUUCCUCUGGUUUAAAGGAGCCGCUACUUUCCCCGUUGGAUCAGCUCCAGGAGCAACUUCGUCGAGAGUCUGGGAAUAGAAGGGUUAACACACUGCUGCUCGGCGCUGCCUACUACAACCGCCUUUACGCGGCAUUUUUAGUCCAGACUGGCUAUAUUCACUAUAUAGCCAAGGUGGUCUCUUGCUCCAGCCUCCUGAGUGCUUGGGGUUACAGCAUCUGCCUGGCCUUCUAUGUAAAGACCUGGAAGAACAAGGGCACCCAAGAGGAUGAGCCCAGAAGUCUAGUUACUGCUUUUGCUGCAUUGAAGAAUGUCUGUGACCUGCUGGCAUCUAUAAACAGUAGCAGGCUACUUUGUCAGCCUGCAAGCAGAAGCUGAUGCCCCACCGGAUGAGGAGGUUCCAGUUGGAAUUAUGGUCAAAAUAGUGGUGCACGAUCUUUGGGAAUCGCAGCACCACGUCACCAAAGAAGGCUGUGUUCUCCACCACGUGGGAGAAAGCUGGCAAGAGAAUCUUGCAGGGUGUCCCUGAACUCUGAUCCUGCCUCUACCCACCAAGUGCUGGGAUUACAGGGGUGUGCAUCUGAUGGAGGAUGUCCUUCUGUAUGCUGUGAAUAUAUGUUUCUUUUAUUGGUUGAUGAAUAAAGCUGUUUCGGCCAAUG
This is a non-coding RNA of Cricetulus griseus (Chinese hamster), 666 nucleotides long. The record is from RefSeq and is a predicted model, not a curated record. Lineage: Eukaryota; Metazoa; Chordata; Mammalia; Rodentia; Cricetidae.